AUGUAGAAAAUGUGUGAAAAUCCAUCUCAAAAAGCCUUGAAAUAAUGAGAAUAUAUUACUUGAUAUGAAUUUAUAGGUCAUUUACUUAGGUUUCUACAUCAAUUUAUUGAUCCUUAGACUCUAAGUUUGAGAAAAAGUUUAAGACGGGUUAUUUAGAUGACACUUAUCUUCCUCUUGUUUUAUUCAUCUUAUAUGGAAAUACAUUACUUUUGCCUGUCACUUUUGUUAAUUAGCUUUAUCAAUAGGCAUAAACUGUAUAGCAAGCUGAAAUAACUGGAUCUUAUGUGGUAUCUUUUAGCUACAUCAUUUAAGGCAGUUGAUAUUUCUAUAAACAACAUUUUUAUGCACUUUCAUGUUUGUGGUUAACCUGUUAAAGCUAUUCUUCCCUUUUGUAUUUCUCUAUGUCAUUAUGAGGCAGUGUCUAAAGAAAAGAUACAUUUGACUGAUAAAUCCAAGGUUAUCCAACAUUAAGAAAAAAACAUAUAUAUACCCCAAAGGUUCAAUCUAAUGAUAUCAGGAUCUAGGAAUGAGGAGGCCUGGUCCCAUAAACCCCUUGAAAACAAUACAUUUGAUGAGGAACUUUUAAUAACUCUCAUCCUUAGCAAUCAUUUGUAUGAAGAGUUCAGUGAGUCAUAGCUGACCAGGGAAAUAUCUCACAACAAUGCAGUCUGAUAGCCAAGCACCCUGCUUUCAUUCCUUGUAAAGUAAAAAACACUUGUCUAAACACUCUCAAUGUAACACCAUUAUUCUCUUUUUUUCUUUUUGAAUGGUAAAUGACAGUAUCAAAAAAUCAUGGAAUUAAAAUAGCAGCUCCUUUCUUUUUCGUGCAUUUUUAUCUAAAUGAAAUCUGCCAUACUUCAGGGCCUAUGUUCAGUGUGAUACUUUUGUGGAGGCUCAGUCUAUAGCCAAAACUGUGUGUGUUGAUACUAAGAUUCUGAAAACCUUCAUUUUUUUAUCUUUCAAUUCUAUUCAUUAUACUGAGACAUUUAUUUUCCAGAAGCAAAAAGGAUGGAUGUUAAAGUUUUUUUUCUGAUUUGUACUUUUGAUUCACGAUCUGAUUUUUCAUAAAGAAGCCUCGACAGGGUUUGUUUUCCUAUUGAAGAUCUCACAUUCAAGUCUUCACUGUCAAGAGCAAGCAGGGGAUAGAAUGUACCAAGUAACUUAGCAACCAUCCAAAUUCCAUCCACAUUCCAGGCCUGUGCUCCAGUUCUAUGGGAAACACCAUUCAAUCCAGAAAUAGACAAGAAAGAGGGUUGAAACCUUCAUGACAAUGCUAGAGAAUUAACAGUGAGAGAUGCAUUAAGCAACAACACAGUUUUGCCUUUUACAAGCUCCCUGAGGUUUUUAUUUCAGUCAGAGGACCAAGAUUUCAGUUCAAGUCACUGGAAGAAAAGAGCUGUCAUUUAUGGUAAGAGAACAAAUUUAAGGAGCAGAGGGAAUUAAAAGUUCAGUUCUGACAUGUUAAGUUCCAAACACCUUAAUGGGUGUUUUCUCCAAAAGAGGAUUAUAGUCAGCAAGUAAUUUUCAGGUGAGAAGGUGAGAGGGGUGAAGGAGAGGUAAAAUGCUUGAGCCCCAAGGCAUGCCAGCCUUUAGACACCUAAAGAUGAGCAUGAAUGAGCUAAGGAGACUGAAAAACAGGUCAGUGAUAGGGAUAUGCUAAAAGUUCAAGAAAUUAAGUGUUAAAAAAGAAGAGUGAUCAACUGAACAAGUACCGAAAUAGGUAGGCAAGAUGACAACGAUAUUGAUUCUGGUAACAGAAAAGUCUUUGGGACAUUAACAAGAGGCCUUCAGAGCAGUGCACGGGACAAAAGUCUGAUGGGAGGGCCUUCUAGGGUGACUGGAAAGGCAGGGAGAUCCCUUUUGUUACUUCCGGUGUGUAGCAGGAAAAGUAAUUAACAUAUGGAGAAUUCACAAUCUUGCACUGCCUUUAACUUUGUGAUUUUCGAUGAACAUUUACAAUUAAAAAGUUAAGCUAUAUGAUCUUUACCCUUCAUUUGAACAUUUUCUAGUCUAUAAUCCCUCCUUAAAUAAUGCUUUCCCAAAUUUGACUUUAGUUUCUUAACUGUUUUUUAGAUUUAAAUAUGCCUGCUUUCUCUGCGUUCUGUUCUCUAUCUCUCUCUCUUCCCCCCACCGUGUGUGUGUGUGUCUGUGUGUGUCCGUGUGUGUGUUGCUGAGUCUCCCUUUAAGUCAGGUAGAAGAGGAAAACUACCAUAUUACCAUUAAUAAGUCCAUUAUAAAUUAUGAGCUAAUAUUAUUUAAAACAUAGAUGAAAAUAAAAAAUUCAAAACUUUUGAAAUGGGAAACAAUCAUGAAAUUUCUGUCCAGGCUAUUUUCUAUGACAUUAUAAAACUAAAUAGCCCCUCCUGAAUUUAACAUUACUAUUUUGUCUUAGGCUUUUUAAAAAAUACAGAUAUGUAGGCAAAUAAUUCUUCUACUCAAACAUAUCCCUACUUUAUAAGGUGGCUUUCGUGCCACUUACUGAGUAAUUUUAUAUUCGUGAAGUGCUUUGAGCUACGCAGGAAAUCUGUGAAAAAUGAAUAAAGAACCAGCUAUGUCUUCAAUUUACUCCAAGAUGGAAUGAAACUUUUCAUCCUGAUUAGGGAAUAAAUAUUAAAUAUAGAUAAUCUUGGAUUCAUGUUAUGAUGUGAACCUGUAUGUCUCUCUUUCACUGACAAAAUAUACAGAAACACUUUAUGGGACAUUAAUUCUUAAAAACCAUGUCAAAAUAUAGGUCCAUGGUGGAAUCAUUCUAAGGUGGCUCUCCAGUGCAUCCUGCAAGGGUAGGGUAGGGAGGAGGCCCCCCAGCCUCUGUGUCCUAGCCUGGUAGCAGCUGUCGUCUGGGCAGCAAGGAUGACUCACAGGGCUGAGAUCCCACCAGGCUCUUGCACCGGGGAGAGCCUUGGAGAGCUGAGUCAUGAGCCAGGAUAAUAAGCCAGAAUUCACUUCCAAAUCUGACUCAGAGCACAGGAGCUACCGAGACCAAAACAUGUGGCCACUUGGGUGUAGCAUUUGGUGCCCCUUCAAAUCAAUGUUCUUUAAUACAUGGUAAGAGACAGGACAUUCUCUUCUAUUGCUCAGAGCAAUUUAGCUCUGGUAACACGCUUAAAACCUCACCCAGCAAAACUGAAGCUUUCCAACUAUAUUCCCAUCCUCCUGAGAAGGUACUUUAGGAAUAAGGGCCAUAUAUUGUUACUAAAACAUGACUCUACUGUGACCAAGGCAUACCCCUCUUAUUUCCUCUUUUACAUAGACUUUAAACUGUAGACUAUAAAGAAUAGACUUCACUUUUAGAGCUGUUUAGGUUUAUAGAAAUAUUGAGCAGAAUGUAUAGAGUAAUAUACCCCCUCGCCUACUCCAGUAUAGUUUCCCUUAUUAGUAUCUUGCACUAGUCUGGUACAUUUGUUACAAAUGAUGAAUCAAUAUUGAUACAUAAUUAACUAAAGGCCAUAGUUUAAAUUAGAAUCAACUCUUUGUUGCACAACUCUAUAGGUUUUGAAAAAUGCUUAAUGUCAUACAUUCAUCAUUAUAGUAUCAUACAAAAUAAUUUCACUGUCCUAAAAACCUAGCAUGCUUUACCUGUUCAUUUCUCCAUUUUCCUUUUGAUGUAGUUUAUCAAAGUAUUCCUUACAAACGUUAUCCCUCUCAUCACAUUUUCAGUGAUGUUUCAUUACCGGGGAGGUAUUUUAGUAUCCCUUACAGAGAAACAACUAUCCAGCUGGUCCAAUAGUAAUCAGAUUCUCACUCUAUGGAUGGAAAAAUUGCCAGCUUCCCUUUCAAUCUUACUGAAAUAGAAUUUCAAAAAUUAUGUCUAACAAGUGAGAAGGUGAUAGGUGAUUGCCAUGGUGGGAAUAUGUCCCACAAAGUUCAUGUGUUGGAAGCUUAAUUCCCCAUGCAACAGUGUUGGGAGGCAGGGCCUAAUAAGAGGUAAUUGAUUAGGUCAUGAGGACUCUGCCCUCAUUAAUGGAUUAAUGUCAUUAUUGAGGGAGUGGAUUUGUUAUUACAAGAGUGGGUUGUUAUAAAAGUAAGUUUUGCCCCUUCUUGCUCUCUCUUACUCUCAUACUGUCUUGCCCUUCCACCUUCUGCCUUGGAUGACACAGCAGGAAUGCCCUCACCAGGUGUUGUCACCAUGGUCUUGAAAUUCAAGAUUCCAAGAUUCCAAGAUUUUGGAUUCUCUAGAAUCAUAAGACAAAUAAAGUUACAUUGCUUACAAAUUACCCAGUCUCAAGUAUUCUGUUACAUAGAGUACUCAAGAAUUUUCUUAAACACAAAAUGGACUAAAUAUGACUAGUGUUUAUACUCAAGUUUGAAGAACAGCAAGAAAGAUGAGCUCUCUACUUACAGGUAAAUUGUCUUGUGAUUAUUUCCACAGAACUCUGACUUGGAUAAGACUUGUAUCCAUUUUAUUACGAUGUUCUUCUUUUUUACAAUUUAGUUCCCCAGAGGGCAAGACCAAGGUCAGUUUAAUCUGAAGUCUUUCGUACUUGAUAAAAAUGUCACUGUAAUGAAAACUUGACCGCAAUUAUAAAGAUGACAUCAUUAUGAUGAUGAUUAUGAUAAUAAUGAUGACGAUGAUGAUGACUUUGCCAUUGCUUUGCAGAAAAGGCUACCUAAGAUCGGAACCCUCUGAUAAUUUGUGCUGCUAUUUUAAGAUCCAGUUCCAUUCUACAACUGGCUGAAGCAUGAAGUCAACUAAAAUAAACUGAAUUGAGUGGAACUGAACUGAACUGAAGUGAAAUAAUGUGAUUUCCAGUAAACCUGACACCUUAAGGACAGAACAUGAGCCUUGCCCAUCUUCCUCCCAGAGGUCCCAGCACAAUCACCGACUCACACAAUACUCUCAGUGCAUGAGUGAUGAAUUUCACUAACAGCGACCCAUCUCUCUACAUAAUCCACUCCGGUUUCACCAGAGCUGAGAGUAUCAUGAAUUACAUCUAUAGAUAGCUGUAAGCUAAUGACCAAAGCACAUAACUGAAUUCAAACAUAUUCUUUAUUGCAGUCAGAUGUGAGAAAACAAAAUUUAGAAGACAAGCCAGAAAGGAAAUGAAGAACAUAAAGAGCCUGAAUUCUCAUCGUCAAUUUUUCCCUGACUGACUCCGUUUUCCUCUCUUCUUUCCAUUUACCUUUCUGUUCCCAUCCCCAUCAUUUUUGUAGUGUUUAUUGAGUGUCUGCUGCAUGCCAGUCAAUGUGCUGAGUACUUUUCAUGUGUUAUACCAUUUGAUCGUCACAGCAGCACACUAUUAUAAUUAUGAAUAUGAUUCCACAUACUAUAUCUAAAAUUUAACUUAAUUUUACAUAGGAGGAAGCUGAGACUUGCCCAAGACUACUCCAUUAGUAAGAUGUGAACCAAGUGAACCAUGUCUGACUCAAACCUAACCCCUGAUUCUCUGAAUCCAUAUCACCGUAGAACUCAACAGUGAAAUAUUGGGGUAGAGGUAAUGCUAUUAGUACACAAACUAUGCACAGAUUUACAAGCAACUAAACAGGAACUCAUGGCCAGGCACAAUGGUUCAUGCCUGUAAUUCCAGCACUUUGGGAGG
Molecule: long non-coding RNA, 5537 nt
Filed under: Homo sapiens (human)
Lineage: Eukaryota; Metazoa; Chordata; Mammalia; Primates; Hominidae
Description: HSALNT0356762
Source: RNAcentral